This 492-nucleotide ribosomal RNA is filed under the name uncultured bacterium. RNAcentral's name for it is "partial 16S ribosomal RNA". It matches the Rfam family "Bacterial small subunit ribosomal RNA", at positions 29 to 507 of the family's 1533-position model. The record is from RNAcentral.
AGUGAACGCUGGCGGUAGGCCUAACACAUGCAAGUCGAACGGCAGCACAGUAAGAGCUUGCUCUUACGGGUGGCGAGUGGCGGACGGGUGAGGAAUACAUCGGAAUCUACUUUUUCGUGGGGGAUAACGUAGGGAAACUUACGCUAAUACCGCAUACGACCUACGGGUGAAAGCAGGGGAUCUUCGGACCUUGCGCGAUUGAAUGAGCCGAUGUCGGAUUAGCUAGUUGGCGGGGUAAAGGCCCACCAAGGCGACGAUCCGUAGCUGGUCUGAGAGGAUGAUCAGCCACAUUGGAACUGAGACACGGUCCAGACUCCUACGGGAGGCAGCAGUGGGAAAUAUUAGACAAUGGGCGCAAGCCUGAUCCAGCCAUACCGCGUGGGUGAAGAAGGCCUUCGGGUUGUAAAGCCCUUUUGUUGGGAAAGAAAAGCAGCAGGUUAAUACCCCGCUGUUCUGACGGUACCCAAAGAAUAAGCACCGGCUAACUUCGUG